UACAUGGAUAGGAUCAUUGGUUGUGGU
This 27-nucleotide small RNA is filed under the name Bombyx mori (domestic silkworm). RNAcentral's name for it is "piRNA piR-bmo-1284539". Lineage: Eukaryota; Metazoa; Arthropoda; Insecta; Lepidoptera; Bombycidae. The record is from RNAcentral.